CCCCUUCUCAAAAGGCUCAAGAGUGCUUAUUAUAUUAGGUGUCAGCUUGUCUGACUAUGGCGAUAAACAUCAUGUGGAAUAAUUGGCACGGACCCGGGGGCGGUACCCGGCGCCUCCACCAGAUUUGAACGCGUCAGAUUAUGAGGCAAAGUCUAGGAGAAUCGAGAACCGGCGCGGAAUGUACUUUUUCGUACAUGAGCACAGAUUGCUGCGAAUCGACGACGAAUUUGUCCAUAAGAUGGUGUGUUGUAUAUGGGGGCGAAAUAGGAUCGACGUACAUGGUAAAGACUUGAUUUUUGCUCGGCAUUGUACCGCCGUUAUCGGGCUAAUUUGAAAAUGCCAACUUAAAUGUAAAGGCAUCUAACUAUAAUGGGACUGCAUCUGCCUACGCAGCUGCAUAACGUUUGACGUUAGAGCGGUUUGGGGGGCACCGGGCAACAGAAAGCCCCCUACU
Molecule: transfer-messenger RNA, 454 nt
Filed under: Alphaproteobacteria bacterium
Lineage: Bacteria; Pseudomonadati; Pseudomonadota; Alphaproteobacteria
Rfam family: Alphaproteobacteria transfer-messenger RNA
About the family: Bacterial tmRNA, also known as 10Sa RNA or SsrA, is named for its dual tRNA and mRNA-like properties. Its role is to liberate the mRNA from a stalled ribosome. To accomplish this part of the tmRNA is used as a reading frame that ends in a translation stop signal.
Source: RNAcentral